This 316-nucleotide ribosomal RNA is filed under the name uncultured bacterium. RNAcentral describes it as "bacterial SSU rRNA". It matches the Rfam family "Bacterial small subunit ribosomal RNA", at positions 28 to 334 of the family's 1533-position model. The record is from RNAcentral.
GAUGAACGCUAGCGGCAGGCUUAACACAUGCAAGUCGAGGGGCAGCGGGGAGGAAGCUUGCUUUCUCCGCCGGCGACCGGCGCACGGGUGAGUAACACGUAUGCAACCUGCCCCUGUCAGGGGGACAACCCGCCGAAAGGCGGGCUAAACCCGCGUACAUGCCACCGGGGCAUCCCGGAGGCAGGAAAGGCUUCGGCCGGUAAAGGAUGGGGAUGCGUCUGAUUAGCUUGCCGGCGGGGUAACGGCCCACCGGGGCGACGAUCAGUAGGGGUUCUGAGAGGAAGGUCCCCCACAUUGGAACUGAGACACGGUCCAA